GAAGGGUGGCCGAGUGGUUGAUGGCACUGGUCUUGAAAACCAGCAAGUUAAUAGCUUCGCAGGUUCGAAUCCUGUCCCUUCC
This 82-nucleotide transfer RNA is filed under the name mouse gut metagenome. It matches the Rfam family "tRNA". Rfam says of the family: Transfer RNA (tRNA) molecules are approximately 80 nucleotides in length. RNAcentral also lists the same sequence under 1 other name. The record is from RNAcentral.